GUGGGCCUACGGGGCGCAGCAGUAGGGAAUCUUCCACAAUGGACGAAAGUCUGAUGGAGCAACGCCGCGUGAGUGAAGAAGGGUUUCGGAUCGUAAAACUCUGUUGGUAGAGAAGAACGUUGGUGAGAGUGGAAAGCUCAUCAAGUGACGGUAACUACCCAGAAAGGGACGGCUAACUACGUGCCAGCAGCCGCGGUAAUACGUAGGUCCCGAGCGUUGUCCGGAUUUAUUGGGCGUAAAGCGAGCGCAGGUGGUUUAUUAAGUCUGGUGUAAAAGGCAGUGGCUCAACCAUUGUAUGCAUUGGA
RNAcentral lists this ribosomal RNA (305 nucleotides) under uncultured bacterium. RNAcentral describes it as "bacterial SSU rRNA". It matches the Rfam family "Bacterial small subunit ribosomal RNA", at positions 333 to 630 of the family's 1533-position model. The record is from RNAcentral.